GCGAGUGUGCUGGAAUUGGCAGACAGGCACGUUUGAGGGGCGUGUGUCACUUGGCGUAUGGGUUCAAGUCCCAUCACUCGCACCA
Molecule: transfer RNA, 85 nt
Filed under: Clostridiales bacterium
Lineage: Bacteria; Bacillati; Bacillota; Clostridia; Eubacteriales
Description: tRNA-Leu
Rfam family: tRNA
About the family: Transfer RNA (tRNA) molecules are approximately 80 nucleotides in length. Their secondary structure includes four short double-helical elements and three loops (D, anti-codon, and T loops).
Source: RNAcentral